UCCGAUUUGUCACCGGCAGUAUCGCAUGAAAAAUACAACAUGCAAUAAGGGUUGCGCUCGUUGCGGGACUUAACCCAACAUCUCACGACACGAGCUGACGACGGCCAUGCAACACCUGUCACUUGGCUCCCUUCCGGGCACGGUCUAAUCUCUUAAACCUUCCAAGGAUGUCAAGUGUGGGUAAGGUUCUUCGCGUAUCGUCGAAUUAAACCACAUGCUCCACCGCUUGUGCGGGUCCCCGUCAAUUCCUUUGAGUUUUAAGCUUGCGCUCGUACUCCCCAGGCGGCUAACUUAACGCGUUAGCUUCGACACUGAAGGGGUCGAUACCUCCAAUGCCUAGUUAGCAUCGUUUACGGCGUGGACUAC
RNAcentral lists this unclassified non-coding RNA (366 nucleotides) under uncultured bacterium. Its description in RNAcentral is "contains 16S-23S intergenic spacer region". The record is from RNAcentral.